This is a non-coding RNA of Salvelinus sp. IW2-2015, 1263 nucleotides long. NCBI's taxonomy places the organism in Eukaryota, Metazoa, Chordata, Actinopteri, Salmoniformes, Salmonidae. The record is from RefSeq and is a predicted model, not a curated record.
CCAUUGGCCAGGGGGCAGGGUAUCUAUAACGCCAUUGGCCAGGAGGCAGGGUAUCUAUAACGCCAUUGGCCAGGGAGGCAGGGUAUCUAUAACGCCAUUGGCCAGGGAGGCAGGGUAUCUAUAACGCCAUUGGCCAGGGAGGCAGGGUAUCUAUAACGCCAUUGGCCAGGGAGGCAUGGUAUCUAUAACGCCAUUGGCCACGAAAGCAGGAAUCUAUAACGCCAUUGGCUAGGGAGGCAGGGUAUCUAUAACGUCAUUGGCCAGGGAGGCUGGUCUCUUUACCUCUCCUCAGUGGAGCACGGGAACUCGUUUUGCAAAUGUGCCAGCAUACCAGCAGAACCAGAAUCAACAAAAUGAUGUGUGACUAGUUCUUCCAAUAACAGUAGGCUUUACUCCAAGAUCCCUCACCUCUGUUGAAUCAUCUCAACCAUCACGCAACAGAAGUAUUUAACAAUGGGACUACAAUACAACAAUCUGAACCAGGACUGUAAGCACAGAAAGUCUCUGCUGUUUGAAACUCUGAUGGGAACCAAGCUGCAGUCAGACCUUCAACAGGAGGAUAUAGAACCAGUCUCUGAUGGGAACCAAGCUGCAGUCAGACCCUUCAACAGGAGGGAAAUAUAGAACCAGUCUCUCUGAUGGGAAUACCAAGCUGCCCAGUCAGACCCUUCAACAGGAGGGAAAUAUAGAACCAGUCUCUCUGAUGGGAACCAAGCUGCAGUCAGACCCUUCAACAGGAGGGAAAUAUAAUUGGGGUUGUUUCUAUGUAUCUUUAAAAAGUUUUAAAUUGUAAAUAUAUAAAUGCAAAUAUGUAUCAUAUUGCUGUCAACAGCCAUGUACUUAAAAUGAGAUGUUUUUUCUUCUAAAAUAUUGUUUUAGAAUCAAAGCAUUGCAAUCUAGAAUACACUGUCAUGAUCAUGUAAUAAUUUAAAGUGAUACAAAAGGUUUAUUUGAAUUAUCAACAUGUGUAUUUGUAAAGAUAUGUAUAGACUUAACAUGUAGUUCAUAAGUUAGAACAAUCUUGUUCAGGAUUUAGUACUGUAAGCAAAUAUGUUUUAUUUAUUUUUCUGUAACUUAUUUUACAGCAGAACAACAUUAUUUUCACAACUGGCAGAUUUUAUUUCUCUUGUUUUUUCAUCCAUCUUGUUUUGUUUACAGUAAAAAAAAAAAAAAAAAGAAUGUAUGAAAGAUUUACAGCAAUUUUAAUGAGCAGAGCAGGACAAGGAAACUGAGUUUGAUUAAAUGUAAAGGAGUGAAACAUUA